UUUGCAAACAAGUUUAUUCUCCGGCGGCGCGGCGCGUUUUGGAUCGACUUUGUGUUCUAGUUGUGUUCAAAUUGUGUUUGAUAAACAAUAAUUCUCAGCAAAUUCCAAUCCAAUGGAGAAACGUGAAGAAGAGUACGAAACUCUUUGGGAGUUCUUAAGGAAAAUUAAAAUGGAAUCUGUGUUUGAGGACUUGAAAGAUUUUUGGAGCCUUGGAAGUGCAUCCUCUAUUCUUUGGCCGCAAUGGAAUUCCAAGGCAUUUGCAUAACGAUCUAUACUAAAUAAGUUUUCACACCAUUACAAAGUACAUUAAAUCAUAAUUAAUCUCAUAAAUGCUUUAAGAAUAUCUGUAGAAAUUUUUGUACACUAAGGAAAAUCUAAAUAAAUAUUUUUUUAUGGGAGGGGUGGAUCCUUCUCAUUGUUACAUAGCA
RNAcentral lists this unclassified non-coding RNA (428 nucleotides) under Drosophila pseudoobscura pseudoobscura. RNAcentral's name for it is "GA30551". Lineage: Eukaryota; Metazoa; Arthropoda; Insecta; Diptera; Drosophilidae. The record is from RNAcentral.